Pelobates cultripes (western spadefoot toad) is the source of this 333-nucleotide non-coding RNA. NCBI's taxonomy places the organism in Eukaryota, Metazoa, Chordata, Amphibia, Anura, Pelobatidae. The record is from the annotation of a GenBank genome assembly.
CCACUAUUUACAAACAUAUUACAAUUACACGUUAUUUAUGGUAAAACACUACCAAAUGGCAAGCCAUGUGUGAGAAUAAGAGCAAAAACACUGUAAAAAAAUUAAAUACUCCACAUUUCAUAAAAAUUACAUAAACAACAAACAAUAUCUGUUUGCAAAUAUCAAAUGGUUUUGACCUGACAGGAAUGUAAUCCUACCAUUUAAUUUAAGGCACAUUGGGGGGGAUUUAUCGACACUUUGCCACAAAGCAGACAUUACUCCUGGUUUGCACGUUGUUAUUUUUUUAGAAAAUAAUACACAUUUAAAAAUGUUUAACUACAGUUUGGUACAAUG